UUCAGAUAGUCUUUUGGUAACUGACGGCGCUCGGCCGGCUUUUCCACCGUCUCCGCGACUCUUUUGGCGGUGCUUGCUCGGCUGCUCCGCCGCCGGCGCCGCACGGACCGCCGUCUUGCGCCGCUGGCCUUUGCCGCUACACAGCCUUCCCAUUUCCCCUGCCCAUCGGACGCUGGAUGCUCUGCCGUCGGGAUGCCUGGACCAGUCGCCACCUCGCCGCUCUCUGCCCGCCAGACACCUGACUGGGUGGCGCUGCGCAGCCACCACAGUAUCUACCGCCGGUGCUAGAGAGGGAACCAGGCGUCCGUUGGCUGGACACGGUGAUCCAGCCCCAUCUAGCACCGACGGGGGACUUCGCCUCCGCCAUUCGCUGGUCCUCCUGUGCACACCACCUGCUCGACCAAAUGCCCCGCUAGACCAGGGAAGCUGAUUCCAUGUCCUUCCUGGCAUCUGGCCGUGCCCGCCUCCUCCGGGGCAUCUCCAGUCACCGGCCACCACAGCAAGGACGCUACACCACAUGCUUCCGGCGUUACAAGGCGCAUUUCUUGCUUGACGGAAUCGAGGAUGCAGCGGAGAGCGCUGCCGGAUCGCAGGAACCACCGGUGUCUCUGGCGAAGAGCCUGGCCUCUCUCGCUGAGGAGUCAACCAUUGCUGCUCAGAGGCAGCGGAAGCCCCUGUCCCGGAUGGAGCGGAAGAGGCUGGCCGAGCUCCGGAUAAAAAAGAGGGUCAAGGCGCAGUAUUUGAACGGCAAGUUUUACGAUCUCAUGGGUAAGGUGGUGGCUAGUGCCGAUACGUUGGAGGAUGCUUACGACAUUGUCCGGCUGAAUUCUAAUGUCGAUCUGGCGUCUCCAAGGGACGAUGUUUGCUUCAUCGCAUUGGCUGAGCAGCUCAGAAGCGGAGAGUUUGAUAUCGCUGUGAAUUCUUUCUCAGUAGCUGCAAAGAGGCAAGGAGGAGAGCGCAUUGUUCUUCCACGGCUCAACUUGAAAGUUAUCCAGGAAGCAGUUAGGGUGGUGCUUGAGGUUGUUUACAGGCCUCAGUUCUCCAAGAUAUCACAUGGUUGUCGGAGUGGGCGAGGAUAUCACUCAGCUCUGAGGUUCAUAUCCACUGAAAUUGGGUUUCCAGAUUGGUGCUUUACUGUCCCUUUGUACAAGGAGGUGGAUAGUGAUGUGGUCUUGAAGCUUAUUUCACAAAUACAGGAAAAGAUCGUUGAUGACCAGUUAGUGGCAUUCAUGCAAGAUAUGUUUGAUGCCGAGGUGAUCAAUUUGGUAUUUGGAGGGUUUCCCAAGGGCCAUGGAGUUCCUCAAGAAGGAGUACUUGCACCAAUCCUGAUGAAUAUUUAUCUUGACAGUUUUGACCAUGAAGUAUUUAGGAUUUGCAUGAAACAUGAAGGCCUUUAUUCAGGGGCAAAAAAUGUUACAGACAACCAGGGCUCCAAGUUGCGUCACUGGUUUAGAAGUCAAAUGAAGGAUGGGGAUCUAAAUAAUGAAGAUCAAACAGAGGGCCAGCCAAACGUGAGAUUAUAUGCUUGCAGAUACAUGGAUGAGAUUUUUGUUGCAGUUGUGGGGUCCAGAGACAUAGCAGAAACUGUAAAGUCUGAAGUUGUUGAUUACUUAAGCAAAUCGCUUUACCUGAAAGUUGAUGAUGGAUUGUGUCUUGUGCCAGUAAAAAAGGACUCUUGGGGGUUGCAGUUUGCUGGCACCGUAGUUAAGGCCGCAACAAAAGAAAGUGCUGCGCUGAAAACUGUUCACAAGCUGAAGGAGAAGGUCCGUUUAUUUGCUUGUCAGAAGCAAGAGAUAUGGGAUGCUAUGAAUCUUAGGUUAGGAAAGAAGUGGUUGGCAUAUGGUUUGAGGAGGGUAAAGGAGUCUGAGAUCAAGUCACUUGGUCUCAGUACUCCGUUGCUGGAUCACAUUGCACAAUUUAGGAAAGAGGGCAUGAAGACAGAUCAUUGGUUCAAAACUUUACUCAAGGUAUGGAUGCAGGACAUCAAUGCCAAAAAUGAAGCUAAUGAGGAGGUGCUCCUGUCAAAAUACAUUGCUGAACCAGCACUUCCGCAGGAACUCAGAGAUGCUUUUAACAACUUUCAGAAGCAAGCUAAUGAUUAUAUCUCAUCAGAAACUGCUGCUACAGAAGCACUGUUGUCCAGCUUGAAGAAUAAGGAAUCAAUGUAUACCUGCCCUGAUGAUGCUGCCAUUAAGAUUUAUGCGCCUCUUAGUUAUAUCAAGAAGUGCCUCAAUCGCUAUGGUGUAACUAAUCUUGAAGGUUUCCCUAAACAUGUUUCAGCCCUUGUUUUGCAAGAUGAUGAGCUAAUCAUAAGUUGGUUUGCAGGAAUAAUUCAUCGUUGGGUAAGAUGGUUCUCUGAGGUUGACAAUUUUAAAGAGCUUCAACUUAUGUUAGUUGAAUGUGUCAGGAAAUCUUGCAUUCGGACACUAUCUGCAAAGUACCGAAUGUACGAAAAAUUGACAGAAAAGCGGUUUGAACUUGAUGAUUAUGGCAUUCCAAUGGUCGAGGACUUUGAGGCAAUGAUAGCACAGCUAGAACCUAGUUCUUCCUCAGUUUCCGCUGAUGAAGCUCUGACGUAUGGCAUUUCUAGUAGUGGCUUAUGUGUGCUCACCCUCUCAAGAGUUAGAGUCCCUGCUCGGAAAUUCAACUGCUUUGUCAUGGGCUGCCAAUCUUCAUCACCAAGUUUGUACAUUAUUCAUGUGAAGGAGAAACAGCGGUUUCCAGGAUGGAGGACAGGUUUCUCAUCAUCAAUUCAUGGGAGUUUAAAUGGCAGACGAAUUGGGUUGUGUACCCAACAUGUUAAAGAUCUAUAUCUAGGGCAAAUCUCCCUUCAGUCAGUUGAUUUUGGUGUGCUGAUUAGAUGACUAUAAGAUGACCCUGAGGUUUUCAGUUUGAGAAUAUUGUUCCCUUUUAUUUUUUUGCAAAUUUUAGCUGCUCCCAUGAUUCUCUGAAAUAAUUUCUUUUGCAAAGUAAAUUUACUGUUUUAGAUUAAUUGACCAUUAUUUCAAGAAGCACACAUGUCACAUGUGCAAAGAGUAUUGGAAGAUUUAUAAACUCUGUCCAAAAUUUCAAAAGUGCCUCUACAAAUUCAGAAAGUAUAUUUGUAUUUUGAGGGAAACAUUGCUUUAACCUGAUGCAUCUCUAUUCUGAAUCUCCGUAAACUAAGUUCAUUAGCUGCCCUCUUCUAAUCACAAUGACUCUCUACUGCUAUUAAGUAUUAACACUUACUUGCUCGAGACUUCCCUUCAGGAAUCGGUGAGCUAGAAAACUUUGGUGCCAUCGUGCAAGUCUGGCCAAGCUUUGGGUGCUCUGUAUGUGUCACUUUGAUGACAUGAAACUUCUCAUAUUCUUUCUCAAUGGUUUCUUCAAUCAGGCUGCUCUCUAAGUUUCCUUUGUGCCUGGGGUGUUCCUGGGCUUUCUGUAUCAUUUACAUCUUGUAGGGUCCCAUGAUUAAACUGUACUGAAUGUUCAGUGACGAUUUUAAACUUGGACUUGCUGAAUUUUCCUUCAGGGUCAUGGUCACGGCACUCUGAUUCCAAGAGGCUGGACGUUUGCUGUUCCAAGGUCAUGAAUUACAUGACCAUCCAAGUUCAAUCAAUAACUAUGCUGCUGGCAAAGAAGGCAUCAAGGGUUCACCGCCAUGAGGGUCCGCCAAUUGUUUUAGUCGCUCUCAAGGAUUAUCAGCCAUAGCAAUGCCAUCCCACCUGGAUAAGGACCCAGGUUGUCACCAAGGCCACAUAGCUAAGUGCAAAACAUGUUUGGAAGAGCAAAGAGUGGGCACGCAUAAAUUAGAUGUCACCUGGAUCUGUUUAGAAGAACGAUGAUAAAGGAGAAGAUGACAAAAUAAUUUCGAUCACACGUACAGAGUCACAGUACAGUACACCCACGGGUCGGUGGGUGGAAAUAGUCCAAAUAGUGUGUCUACCACACGGUACGUCAAAUAGUGCAAGUAGGACCAACCGUGUGUGUCUGUGUGGUACCAAGGCAAAUACAGCUAACUGGAAAGAUGCUACCUACUGGAGGUCACUUCUAAUUUGGAGCGUUCUUAUCGCCAAUGGUUUCUUCCUCCUUCAUCAGGCCUAUGGAACUCUGAGCAACGCCGGCCUGAGCUGCCAUCAAAUUUGCAAGUUGGGCGACCUCCCGUUUGCCGGAGUGAUGGA
RNA transcript from Triticum dicoccoides, 4160 nucleotides. It is a transcript of the gene named myricetin 3-O-rhamnoside 1,2-glucosyltransferase UGT709G2-like, with no coding region annotated. The record is from RefSeq and is a predicted model, not a curated record. The transcript is spliced from 3 exons. Lineage: Eukaryota; Viridiplantae; Streptophyta; Magnoliopsida; Poales; Poaceae.